CAGUCGCCACGGUAACACCGAGGGUGCGAGCGUUAAUCGGAUUUACUGGGCGUAAAGCGUGCGUAGGCGGCUUCUUAAGUCGGAUGUGAAAUCCCUGAGCUUAACUUAGGAAUUGCAUUCGAUACUGGGAAGCUAGAGUAUGGGAGAGGAUGGUAGAAUUCCAGGUGUAGCGGUGAAAUGCGUAGAGAUCUGGAGGAAUACCGAUGGCGAAGGCAGCCAUCUGGCCUAAUACUGACGCUGAGGUACGAAAGCAUGGGGAGCAAACAGGAUUAGAUACCCCAGUAGUCCCUGUCUCUUAUAA
Molecule: ribosomal RNA, 301 nt
Filed under: uncultured bacterium
Lineage: Bacteria
Description: partial 16S ribosomal RNA
Rfam family: Bacterial small subunit ribosomal RNA
Source: RNAcentral